UACGUAGGGAGCAAGCGUUGUCCGGAAUCAUUGGGCGUAAAGCGCGCGUAGGCGGCCCCGUAAGUCCGCUGUGAAAGUCAAAGGCUCAACCCUUGAAAGCCGGUGGAUACUGUGGGGCUAGAGUACGGAAGAGGCGAGUGGAAUUCCUGGUGUAGCGGUGGAAUGCGCAGAUAUCAGGAGGAACACCAAUAGCGAAGGCAGCUCGCUGGGACGUUACUGACGCUGAGGCGCGAAAGCGUGGGGAGCGAACAGG
Molecule: ribosomal RNA, 253 nt
Filed under: uncultured bacterium
Lineage: Bacteria
Description: partial 16S ribosomal RNA
Rfam family: Bacterial small subunit ribosomal RNA
Source: RNAcentral